CUGGUUAUGUAUAUCACUUAUUCAAGCUUAUGGAAUUGCUAUUACAAUGGGAGCAUUAUCUCCUGUUUUAUGGAGCAAAAUUGUUACGGUUGUGACACAUAUCAUUAUGGUUUUAUACGU
Non-coding RNA from Arachis ipaensis, 120 nucleotides. NCBI's taxonomy places the organism in Eukaryota, Viridiplantae, Streptophyta, Magnoliopsida, Fabales, Fabaceae. The record is from RefSeq and is a predicted model, not a curated record.